AGGACGAACGCUGGCGGCGUGCUUAACACAUGCAAGUCGAGCGGAAAGGCCCUUCGGGGUACUCGAGCGGCGAACGGGUGAGUAACACGUGAGCAACCUGCCCUUAGCUUCGGGAUAGCUCCGGGAAACCGGAAUUAAUACCGGAUAUGACUAUGGCCGACAUCAGCCAUGGUGGAAAGUUUUUCGGCUAGGGAUGGACUCGCGGCCUAUCAGCUAGUUGGUGAGGUAACGGCUCACCAAGGCGACGACGGGUAGCCGGCCUGAGAGGGCGACCGGCCACACUGGGACUGAGACACGGCCCAGACUCCUACGGGAGGCAGCAGUGGGGAAUAUUGCGCAAGUGGGCGAAAGCCUGACGCAGCGACGCCGCGGUGGGGAUGAAUGCCUUCGGGUUGUAAACCCUUCAGCAGGGACGAAGCGAAAGUGACGGUACCUGCAGAGAAGCGCCGGCUAACUACGUGCCAGCAGCCGC
This 472-nucleotide ribosomal RNA is filed under the name uncultured bacterium. Its description in RNAcentral is "SSU rRNA". It matches the Rfam family "Bacterial small subunit ribosomal RNA", at positions 26 to 518 of the family's 1533-position model. The record is from RNAcentral.